UACGUAGGGUGCAAGCGUUGUCCGGAAUUAUUGGGCGUAAAGAGCUCGUAGGCGGUCUGUUACGUCGGCUGUGAAAACCUGGGGCUCAACCCCGGGCCGGCAGCCGAUACGGGCAGACUAGAAUUCGGUAGGGGAGACUGGAAUCCCUGGUGUAGCGGUGAAAUGCGCAGAUAUCAGGAGGAACACCGGUGGCGAAGGCGGGUCUCUGGGCCGAUAUUGACGCUGAGGAGCGAAAGCGUGGGGAGCGAACAGG
RNAcentral lists this ribosomal RNA (253 nucleotides) under uncultured bacterium. RNAcentral's name for it is "partial 16S ribosomal RNA". It matches the Rfam family "Bacterial small subunit ribosomal RNA", at positions 524 to 776 of the family's 1533-position model. The record is from RNAcentral.